RNAcentral lists this ribosomal RNA (475 nucleotides) under uncultured bacterium. RNAcentral's name for it is "partial 16S ribosomal RNA". It matches the Rfam family "Bacterial small subunit ribosomal RNA", at positions 28 to 507 of the family's 1533-position model. The record is from RNAcentral.
GAUGAACGCUCGCGGCUGUCCUAACACCAGCAAGUCGAGGUAUAAGCCUUCGGGCUGAGCCCGGCGCACGGGUACGUAACGCGUAUACGAUCUGCGUUUUAUCCGGGGUAAAGCCCGAAGAAAUUUGGGUUAAUACCCCAUGGUAUCAGAGCUCGGCAUCGUAAACUUAUCAAAGCUCCGCCGUUAACCCAUGAGUAUGCGUUCUAUUAGCUAGUUGGAGACGUAACGUCUCCGCAAGGCGAUGAUAGAUAGGGGUUCUGAGAGGGAUGUCCCCCACACUGGUACUGGGAUACGGACCAGACUCCUACGGGAGGCAGCAGUGAGGAAUAUUGGACAAUGGUCGGAAGACUGAUCCAGCCAUGCCGCGUGCAGGAUGACGGCAUUAUGGGUUGUAAACUGCUUUUGGAAGGGAAGAAUAAGGAGUACGUGUACUUUGAUGACGGUACCUUACGAAUAAGCAUCGGCUAACUCCGUG